ACUUAAAUUGAAGAGUUUGAUCAUGGCUCAGAUUGAACGCUGGCGGCAGGCCUAACACAUGCAAGUCGAACGGUAGCACAGAGAGCUUGCUCUCGGGUGACGAGUGGCGGACGGGUGAGUAAUGUCUGGGAAACUGCCUGAUGGAGGGGGAUAACUACUGGAAACGGUAGCUAAUACCGCAUAACGUCGCAAGACCAAAGAGGGGGACCUUCGGGCCUCUUGCCAUCAGAUGUGCCCAGAUGGGAUUAGCUAGUAGGUGGGGUAAUGGCUCACCUAGGCGACGAUCCCUAGCUGGUCUGAGAGGAUGACCAGCCACACUGGAACUGAGACACGGUCCAGACUCCUACGGGAGGCAGCAGUGGGGAAUAUUGCACAAUGGGCGCAAGCCUGAUGCAGCCAUGCCGCGUGUAUGAAGAAGGCCUUCGGGUUGUAAAGUACUUUCAGCGGGGAGGAAGGUGUUGCGGUUAAUAACCGCAGCAAUUGACGUUACCCGCAGAAGAAGCACCGGCUAACUCCGUGCCAGCAGCCGCGGUAAUACGGAGGGUGCAAGCGUUAAUCGGAAUUACUGGGCGUAAAGCGCACGCAGGCGGUCUGUCAAGUCGGAUGUGAAAUCCCCGGGCUCAACCUGGGAACUGCAUUCGAAACUGGCAGGCUAGAGUCUUGUAGAGGGGGGUAGAAUUCCAGGUGUAGCGGUGAAAUGCGUAGAGAUCUGGAGGAAUACCGGUGGCGAAGGCGGCCCCCUGGACAAAGACUGACGCUCAGGUGCGAAAGCGUGGGGAGCAAACAGGAUUAGAUACCCUGGUAGUCCACGCCGUAAACGAUGUCGACUUGGAGGUUGUUCCCUUGAGGAGUGGCUUCCGGAGCUAACGCGUUAAGUCGACCGCCUGGGGAGUACGGCCGCAAGGUUAAAACUCAAAUGAAUUGACGGGGGCCCGCACAAGCGGUGGAGCAUGUGGUUUAAUUCGAUGCAACGCGAAGAACCUUACCUACUCUUGACAUCCAGAGAACUUUCCAGAGAUGGAUUGGUGCCUUCGGGAACUCUGAGACAGGUGCUGCAUGGCUGUCGUCAGCUCGUGUUGUGAAAUGUUGGGUUAAGUCCCGCAACGAGCGCAACCCUUAUCCUUUGUUGCCAGCGGCUAGGCCGGGAACUCAAAGGAGACUGCCAGUGAUAAACUGGAGGAAGGUGGGGAUGACGUCAAGUCAUCAUGGCCCUUACGAGUAGGGCUACACACGUGCUACAAUGGCGCAUACAAAGAGAAGCGACCUCGCGAGAGCAAGCGGACCUCAUAAAGUGCGUCGUAGUCCGGAUUGGAGUCUGCAACUCGACUCCAUGAAGUCGGAAUCGCUAGUAAUCGUAGAUCAGAAUGCUACGGUGAAUACGUUCCCGGGCCUUGUACACACCGCCCGUCACACCAUGGGAGUGGGUUGCAAAAGAAGUAGGUAGCUUAACCUUCGGGAGGGCGCUUACCACUUUGUGAUUCAUGACUGGGGUGAAGUCGUAACAAGGUAACCGUAGGGGAACCUGCGGUUGGAUCACCUCCUUACCUUAAAGAA
This 1554-nucleotide ribosomal RNA is filed under the name Leclercia adecarboxylata. RNAcentral describes it as "bacterial SSU rRNA". It matches the Rfam family "Bacterial small subunit ribosomal RNA". Lineage: Bacteria; Pseudomonadati; Pseudomonadota; Gammaproteobacteria; Enterobacterales; Enterobacteriaceae. The record is from RNAcentral.